CAUAUUGAUCAUUUUGGUGCAUUUAUUUUAAAUUUUCGAACAUUUUUGUGCACAUCUUUUAUUCAUUUUGAGUCCUUUUAUUUAUAUAUUUUUUAACACAUUCACAAGAAAAUAAAUAGGAUUAUUCAUAUUUUCAUUUCAAUUUUAUUUUGAUUAUCUAAUUAAAAAAUAUUAAAUAAAAAAUGAUUAAAAUAUUUAUUUGUUUUAUUUAUUUUUAUUUAACAAAAACGUAUAUUUAUUUUUUGUUUAUUUGAUUUUUAAACUAAUUAUAUCAAUUAAAAUGAUUAAAAAGGACAUUUUGGUGUUUGUGUGUCAAGAGAACCCUAGAAAUCCUUACUAUUUAAACUAAUGUCAUUAGCUCAUGAUGGGAAACCAACCGUUGCCUAGCGGCAGACACCACAAACUCUUCUCUCACCAGCAGCACACUCACUCUAUUCUUUCCAUUCAAAAAAAUAUUCUGAAUUGAAAAAAAAUUCUGCACUCUCUCUCAUUUUUUUCUCACUUUUCUCUAAUCUCUCUCUAAAAAAAACAUCAGCCGCCCCUAAAGAAACUAGCACCACAUUUUUGGCCGUAUUUCCGUCAUAGAAGCAAACGGAAGUUCACCGGAAAAUCAAGCUCGCUUUCAGAUCCGUUUGCUUUGGAUCUCCUGGGUAUUUUUAUUUCUUUUAUUUCUAACUUUAGAUUCUUUUGUUGGUGUGAGAUAUAAUGAUAAAUGUUUAUCUACAAAGUUUUAUCAUGAUACUGUUUCUUGUUUUAUGAUGAUGUCGUUUCCCAGUCGAUAGUGUUAGCUGGCAAUAUUGCUGCAAAUGGAGAGAGUAUUGUUGUAUUAGCCGCCAUUAACAUAUGAUGUGUAUUGUUGAAUUUUUUUUUUUUUUUUUUUUGUUAAUCUUUGGUUCUCUUUUAAUUUUUACUAUCAUUCUAGUUCAUAUUGAAAUGCUUGUUGUGUGUUAUAAAUAGUAAGUGAAAUUUAGAGUUUUUGUCUUUUAUGCAAAGUUAAUAAAUUGUAAUCAUGUAUCCGCUCAUGUCUUGUUUUCAUAAAGUGUUAUUAUAUUGUUUUUUUAAGUGCUAGUGAUGCCUAUUGGAGUUUUGGUUAGAACUUCAUUAUGGACUCUUAAGUCAUUUGCCAUGUGCACCUGCUGAAAUUUUCGGUUCAAUUUGUACUAACACUUACGUUGGAUUUUUAAAUCGUUACCAUUCUGUUUCCAUGUAAUUUCUAAAAAAUGUAAGUAUAAUUUUGUGUUGAUGUUGUCUUUUUAUUUUAUUUUAUCACAUUGUGUUGUGAUUUUGAUUCGUGGAUUCGGUAAUUUAAUACCGAUAUGUCACCCAAAUUUCUACAUUGAUUGUGUAUUUUCAACGUGUUUCGAUCCUUACAUACGACACUCCAACUCCGUUGUCGUUAUGUAUAAACCGGUUUAUGAGCACAUGGUGGCCGAUUCAAUUUAAUAUUUUAUAUUCAAUAUUGUCACUUAUUUCUUUUAAAGAUAAUUAAUUAAAGUUUGAAUUAAAUUAGAUAAUUUUGUUAACUAAUUUUAAUUAGCUUAGUCAUUUGAUUAUAUUAAUUUUUAAUCAAACAAUUUUGAUAAUUAAUUUUAAUUACCUUAAUUAGACAACUUAAUCGAAUUUUAAUCAAUUAAUUUUGUUAAUUUAAUAUUAAUCAAUUUAUUUCACUACCAUUUCAAUUUCCUUAAACUAAACCAUUUCAAUCUCAUCAAUUCAAAACACUCCAAUAUUUAAAUCAUUUUCUAAAUAAAACGUGAAGAAAAAGGUUACCUGGAU
This 1776-nucleotide long non-coding RNA is filed under the name Lathyrus oleraceus (garden pea). RNAcentral's name for it is "Pisum sativum (pea) long non-coding RNA (PSAT_LNC004662)". The record is from RNAcentral. Lineage: Eukaryota; Viridiplantae; Streptophyta; Magnoliopsida; Fabales; Fabaceae.